RNAcentral lists this ribosomal RNA (493 nucleotides) under uncultured bacterium. Its description in RNAcentral is "partial 16S ribosomal RNA". It matches the Rfam family "Bacterial small subunit ribosomal RNA", at positions 30 to 523 of the family's 1533-position model. The record is from RNAcentral.
AUUGAGCGCUGGCGGCAUGCUCUACACAUGCAAGUCGAACGGUAACAGGUUAAGCUGACGAGUGGCGAACGGGUGAGUAAUGCAUCGGAACGUGCCCGGUCGUGGGGGAUAACGCAGCGAAAGCUGCGCUAAUACCGCAUACGAUCUGAGGAUGAAAGCGGGGGACCGUAAGGCCUCGCGCGAUCGGAGCGGCCGAUGUCAGAUUAGGUAGUUGGUGGGGUAAAGGCUCACCAAGCCAACGAUCUGUAGCUGGUCUGAGAGGACGACCAGCCACACUGGUACUGAGACACGGCCCAGACUCCUACGGGAGGCAGCAGUGGGGAAUUUUGGACAAUGGGCGAAAGCCUGAUCCCGCAAUGCCGCGUGCAGGAAGAAGGCCUUCGGGUUGUAAACUGCUUUUGUACGGAGCGAAAAGGUCUCCUCUAAUACAGGGGGCUCAUGACGGUACCGUAAGAAUAAGCACCGGCUAACUACGUGCCAGCCGCCGCAGUAA